CCUACGGGAGGCAGCAGUGAGGAAUAUUGGUCAAUGGCCGCAGGGCUGAACCAGCCAAGUCGCGUGAGGGAUGACGGUCCUAUGGAUUGUAAACCUCUUUUGUCAGGGAGCAAAGGGCGCCACGUGUGGCGCUUUGCGAGUACCUGAAGAAAAAGCAUCGUCUAACUCCGUGCCAGCAGCCGCGGUAAUACGGAGGAUGCGAGCGUUAUCCGGAUUUAUUGGGGUUAAAGGGUGCGCAGGCGGAAUGUCAAGUCAGCGGUAAAAUUUCGGGGCUCAACCCCGUCGUGCCGUUGAAACUGGCGUUCUUGAGUGAGCGAGAAGUAUGCGGAAUGCGUGGUGUAGCGGUGAAAUGCAUAGAUAUCACGCAGAACUCCGAUUGCGAAGGCAGCAUACCGGCGCUCAACUGACGCUCAUGCACGAAAGCGUGGGUAUCGAACAGGAUUAGAUACCCCAGUAGUC
RNAcentral lists this ribosomal RNA (459 nucleotides) under uncultured bacterium. RNAcentral describes it as "partial 16S ribosomal RNA". It matches the Rfam family "Bacterial small subunit ribosomal RNA", at positions 338 to 795 of the family's 1533-position model. The record is from RNAcentral.